This 1033-nucleotide long non-coding RNA is filed under the name Sus scrofa (pig). RNAcentral describes it as "lncRNA (ENSSSCG00065040468.1)". The record is from RNAcentral. Lineage: Eukaryota; Metazoa; Chordata; Mammalia; Artiodactyla; Suidae.
AGGUGUUUUGCAUAACGCAGUAAACUUUAUAACCUAAAAGGGACAAUUUUAAUGUACUUGGCCGAUAUUAUUCAUGCCAUUAUGUGUCACCCUAGAUUCACCAGGGUACAACAGUAAAAGUAACAGUAAUGAUUAUUGCUAAUGCCACUAUUAAUUAUUCAUAUUAGUGUUAUCCACUGAAGUCAUUUCAGAAUUCCCCAGAUAGAUAUAGGCAAUUUCUCUUCCAUACAAUCAUCUCCUUACAUAUCUUUAUCAUCCUUCCUCCCCUCCUUCCUUCCAUCCUCCCAGUGUUGUUAUAAUUCUUUAUCCUGUCUCCUCCACUAAAAUAUAAGCUCUUCCAGGGUGCAGACCUCUUACUUGUGUGAAUAUCCUGGCACUUAGCACAGUCUCUGGCACAGAGUAGAUAUUCAAUCCCUUUUAGUUGAAUGAAAGAAUGGAUCUGAGUCUCUUAACUAUAGUUCUUUAGACAAUUCAAUGUGUUAAAUCAUAACUUCUUGCUGGAUAUCCAGCCGCAUUGUGCCUUUAGGUACUUAGGCAUUAUUCCAUUGGAAGAGUUGUGGACAUUAUACAUCUGUUUAUGUUUAAAGAAAUGGACUUCAGUUGAAUGUCAUUUUCUAGACUCUCAAAAUUGGCUUUUUCUUUUUUUUAAGAAUCUCUUUCUCUUUUUGAAAGAACUCAUUGUCCCCAUGACCUGAACUGUUCCCCCAGCACCCUCAUGCCGCCCUCAUGCCUCCUUUUACCUGCACACACCGUUUGGACCCGAAUUUGGUAAAGAGGAGGGACACUGGAUCCACUGAAGUGGUGAAGAGGUGUCAAGACAAAGUUUGGAGAAGCCUCAAAGAAGUACUCUAGGAACAAUGUGAUUGGGGUAGGUAUUUCCCACACAGUCAAGCUCCCUGAGGGAAGAACCCUGGGUAAAGCUCACCUAUGAAGUCCCCAAAAUUACUGAGUACCCAACUCAGAGCUGACUUUUAAUGAAUAUUUUUUAAAUGCGCAAAUGAAUAAUGAAUGAUUAUUUUGAAAAUUAUCUUGG